GUUUUUUAUGGAAAAACCAUGGAAGGAAACCGAGAAGUUACUGAUUCAAUUUACUCCAAUACUUCUCUUGAACAACUCCAAUGGCAGCUUUGGGUAAUUAGAACUCCAAGUUUAUUUCUCGAAUGUGGGUAAUCACGUUCUACCACUAUGGAAACUGUACUAUUUUGAAUCUAUUUGAAUUCUGAUUUAUGUUUUAUCAACUUUUUUUUCAUUUGAAAUCUUUUUUGUUUUUGAGAGUGAAUUGGAGGAUGGGAUAAAAGUUCUUUCUAUUUUGACAUGGGUGAAGAUGAAUAGCAGAAGAUUCUGGCAAAGAUAUGAGGACGACGUUCUGAAUAGGAAUAACGACGAGGGCGGCUAAGUCGGCGGUAGCAAGGUGUGUCCAUGUCGUCUGUAACGGUGUUUCCGGAAUAAAUUUGAGUUUUGAUUGGAUUUAUCAAUAUACUCAGUAGUUUGCAGUAAUUGGAGGAAUUUUGAUUGGAUUUAUCAAUAUAGUUUGAAGUGGGUUUGGACGGAAUACAUAUUUAAUAUUUUGUUUUGAAGAUGUAUGAAACUUGAGAUUAUUAUACACUUAUGUCGUUCCAUUUAAUUAUUUAAUACAUCUAUGCUUAAUGAAGA
Molecule: long non-coding RNA, 615 nt
Organism: Spinacia oleracea (spinach)
Lineage: Eukaryota; Viridiplantae; Streptophyta; Magnoliopsida; Caryophyllales; Amaranthaceae
Exons: 3
Source: RefSeq, a predicted model, not a curated record